UGCAGUCGAACGGAGAUGUUAGUAAUAAUAUCUUAGUGGCGGACGGGUGAGUAACGCGUGGGCAACUUGCCUCGGACUGGGGGAUAACACAGGGAAACUUGUGCUAAUACCGCAUAACAUCGAGAGGGGACAUCCUCUUUCGAUCAAAGGAGUAAUCCGGUUUGAGAUGGGCCCGCGUCCGAUUAGCUAGUUGGCGGUGUAAUGGACCACCAAGGCGACGAUCGGUAGCCGAACUGAGAGGUUGAUCGGCCACAUUGGGACUGAGACACGGCCCAGACUCCUACGGGAGGCAGCAGUGGGGAAUAUUGCACAAUGGGGGAAACCCUGAUGCAGCAACGCCGCGUGAAGGAUGAAGGUUUUCGGAUUGUAAACUUCUUUGAUUGGGGACGAAUAAUGACGGUACCCAAAAAACAAGCCACGGCUAACUACGUGCCAGCAGCCGCGGUAAUACGUAGGUGGCAAGCGUUGUCCGGAGUUACUGGGUGUAAAGGGCGUGUAGGCGGGAAGAUAAGUCAGAUGUGAAAUUCCAUGGCUCAACUGUGGCGCUGCAUCUGAAACUAUUUUUCUUGAGUGAUGGAGAGGAAAGCGGAAUUCCUAGUGUAGCGGUGAAAUGCGUAGAUAAUAGGAGGAACACCAGUGGCGAAGGCGGCUUUCUGGACAUUAACUGACGCUGAGGCGCGAAAGCGUUGGGAGCAAACAGGAUUAGAUACCCUG
This 714-nucleotide ribosomal RNA is filed under the name uncultured bacterium. Its description in RNAcentral is "bacterial SSU rRNA". It matches the Rfam family "Bacterial small subunit ribosomal RNA", at positions 56 to 789 of the family's 1533-position model. The record is from RNAcentral.